UGCCCUGGAUGUAAAAGACACUGGAACGCCUGACAGAUCAGCCAACAAAGGAGAUGUGUGGCACUGGUGUUGGCACUGGAGGCUGUGAGACCAGUGACUAGGAAACAUUUGUUUGCAAGUCACGUGGUCUCCAAAGCGAGACGGAAUGCUACCUCAGGUCUACAUUGCCCUUAGGAAGGCCUAUAUAUCUCAUGAACAUAGAUGCUAAAAUCCACAACAGAAGACCAGCAAAGUGAAUACAACUAAAUGACAACACACUAAGAAGAUAAUACAUCUGUUUCCCUUUGACCUCUUUGUACAGAUCAUUUGAUUCUAAGUUUGUACCUCAGUCGGUUUUGACCUUUACAAUGUCUGACUAAAAAUUACCAAUUCACAUCAUUACUUAAAAAUAUUCUUGGAAAAUAAAAUAGAAUAAAUUCGAAAUGCAAGAAA
This is a long non-coding RNA of Eptesicus fuscus (big brown bat), 432 nucleotides long. RefSeq lists it as uncharacterized. Lineage: Eukaryota; Metazoa; Chordata; Mammalia; Chiroptera; Vespertilionidae. The transcript has 2 exons. The record is from RefSeq and is a predicted model, not a curated record.